RNAcentral lists this ribosomal RNA (1027 nucleotides) under Flavobacterium psychrophilum. Its description in RNAcentral is "bacterial SSU rRNA". It matches the Rfam family "Bacterial small subunit ribosomal RNA", at positions 221 to 1251 of the family's 1533-position model. The record is from RNAcentral. Lineage: Bacteria; Pseudomonadati; Bacteroidota; Flavobacteriia; Flavobacteriales; Flavobacteriaceae.
AAAGAUGAGCAUGCGUCCCAUUAGCUAGUUGGUAAGGUAACGGCUUACCAAGGCAACGAUGGGUAGGGGUCCUGAGAGGGAGAUCCCCCACACUGGUACUGAGACACGGACCAGACUCCUACGGGGAGGGCAGCAGUGAGGAAUAUUGGUCAAUGGGCGCAAGCCUGAACCAGCCAUGCCGCGUGCAGGAUGACGGUCCUAUGGAUUGUAAACUGCUUUUGCACAGGAAGAAACCCUCGGUCGUGACCGAGCUUGACGGUACUGUGAGAAUAAGGAUCGGCUAACUCCGUGCCAGCAGCCGCGGUAAUACGGAGGAUCCAAGCGUUAUCCGGAAUCAUUGGGUUUAAAGGGUCCGUAGGCGGCCAGAUAAGUCAGUGGUGAAAGCCCAUCGCUCAACGAUGGAACGGCCAUUGAUACUGUUUGGCUUGAAUUAUUUGGAAGUAACUAGAAUAUGUAGUGUAGCGGUGAAAUGCUUAGAGAUUACAUGGAAUACCAAUUGCGAAGGCAGGUUACUACAAAUUGAUUGACGCUGAUGGACGAAAGCGUGGGUAGCGAACAGGAUUAGAUACCCUGGUAGUCCACGCCGUAAACGAUGGAUACUAGCUGUUGGGAGCAAUCUCAGUGGCUAAGCGAAAGUGAUAAGUAUCCCACCUGGGGAGUACGUUCGCAAGAAUGAAACUCAAAGGAAUUGACGGGGGCCCGCACAAGCGGUGGAGCAUGUGGUUUAAUUCGAUGAUACGCGAGGAACCUUACCAAGGCUUAAAUGUAGAUUGACCGGUUUGGAAACAGACUUUUCGCAAGACAAUUUACAAGUGCCUGCAUGGAUGUCGUCAGCUCGUGCCGUGAGGUGUCAGUUUAAGUCCUAUAACGAGCGCAACCCCUGUUGUUAGUUGCCAGCGAGUCAUGUCGGGAACUCUAGCAAGACUGCCAGUGUAAACUGUGAGGAAGGUGGGGAUGACGUCAAAUCAUCACGGCCCUUACGCCUUGGGCUACACACGUGCUACAAUGGCCGGUACAGAGAGAGAGC